CUUCACUCUCUCUCCUUCCCCCCUCCCUUUCUGCACAUCUUGCAUCUCAGAAGCCCCCUCCCGGAAACUAGAUACAACUCCAGGGGAAGGUGAGGUUGAAAUCCACAAGUUCACUGAGAUAAAGUUUCUGACAAUGCAAAGAAAGGGAGGCUUGAAAUCAAAAUUAGUUUCUAUUUCUUACAUAAAUGUCUGGACUAGAAUUGUGUCCACUGCUCAGAUCUUACUUAUAUUCAGGGAUGACGUAUCUCAUGGAAGAACAGGGCUCAACGAGCCACUUAAAUGUCUUCCUAUCAAAUGUUAAGGUUCUAGAAACCAAAUGGUGGGUAUAUUAUCCAACAUAUGCCGUGAAAGCAGAGCCAAUCCUGGGGGAAAGCUUCUCUCCUAAUGGUAAGGUGUCCAUAUCCUCUGCCCCAAGAACCAAGACAAGUGAUCUGACAAGUGUGAAGACUGCUUUUCAACAUGAAAAAGAGUUUUCUUAAACUCAAGCAUGAUAUUGGCUCUACUUUGAAUAUCAGUUACGAAAAUUCAUAACGAGCUGAGGUAUCUUCACUAACAUUGCAAAUUAAUUUCUUGUAUUCAUCACAAUGACAUUUAUGUGUAUUUGAAAAGUAAUCCAUAUGGAUGAGCAUAUUUUUCAUUCACUCUACAGACGGAACAUGCACGCUGGUUUGCAGAUCCCUUGCAGUGACUCUACAGCUCCCAGGAAUCUGAGGUUCACAAGGUGAAACCUACCAGGCCAAACAAUUUAAAAUUGGUUUUGUUUUGAAAAUCCAAAUGCUACACUUCGCUCAUCAAUGGAGCUCAAGAUGUAAAAGUCUGGUUUAAGAGACAUUGAAUCUAUUCUGCCUUUUAUUAUCCCUUUCUUAUAAGUUGACUUUUAAGAAAUCAAUGACUGUGUGGAGAGUUCUAACUGGGUACGUAAUAAAAUAACCAACUGUGGGGGUGGGCAGGGGGCCCUAUCGCACCAGGAAGCUUGUUUAUUGGUUGCAUUAGACCACUAAAGUGGAAGCACUGAGAUAUUCUGGAAAGAACACAGCUUGGGGGCCAACAGAUCUGGGUUCAGAGCCUUACUGCAUCACCUACAAGUUGUGUCUCUUUAGAAAAUUUACUUAA
RNAcentral lists this long non-coding RNA (1113 nucleotides) under Homo sapiens (human). RNAcentral's name for it is "non-protein coding lnc-CRIPT-1:1". Lineage: Eukaryota; Metazoa; Chordata; Mammalia; Primates; Hominidae. The record is from RNAcentral.